CUAGCUGUAACAUUGAUAGAGCAACACACCAUCUAUUCGCCCGGGUACUACGAGCACUAGCUUAAAACCCAAAGGACUUGGCGGUACUUUAGAUCCCCCUAGAGGAGCCUGUUCUAUAACCGAUAAUCCCCGUUUAACCUCACCCUCUCUUGUUUCUCCCGCCUAUAUACCGCCGUCGUCAGCUUACCCUGUGAAGGCCUAAUAGUAAGCAAAAUUGGCACCCCCUAGAACGUCAGGUCGAGGUGUAGCGCAUGUGAGGGGAAGAAAUGGGCUACAUUCAUUAAUCAUAAUGAACACGAACGAAAUACUGAAAACGUACAACCGAAGGAGGAUUUAGCAGUAAAUGGAAAAUAGAGUGUUCCAUUGAAAUCGGCUCUGAAGUGCGCACACACCGCCCGUCACUCUCCCCAAGCAUUCUGACUUACCUAACUAAGACACUGCAGCCGCCACAGGGGAGGCAAGUCGUAACAUGGUAAGUGUACUGGAA
RNAcentral lists this ribosomal RNA (487 nucleotides) under Brama brama (Atlantic pomfret). Its description in RNAcentral is "partial 12S ribosomal RNA". It matches the Rfam family "Bacterial small subunit ribosomal RNA", at positions 796 to 1510 of the family's 1533-position model. Lineage: Eukaryota; Metazoa; Chordata; Actinopteri; Scombriformes; Bramidae. The record is from RNAcentral.